Molecule: ribosomal RNA, 700 nt
Filed under: uncultured Arcicella sp.
Lineage: Bacteria; Pseudomonadati; Bacteroidota; Cytophagia; Cytophagales; Flectobacillaceae
Description: bacterial SSU rRNA
Rfam family: Bacterial small subunit ribosomal RNA
Source: RNAcentral
GAUGAACGCUAGCGGCAGGCCUAAUACAUGCAAGUCGAACGGUGUCUUCGGACAUAGUGGCGCACGGGUGCGUAACACGUAUGCAACCUACCUUACAUUGGGGGAUAGCCUUUCGAAAGGGAGAUUAAUACCGCAUAAGACAGUAGCUGGGCAUCCAGCAGCUGUUAAAGAUUUAUCGAUGUAAGCUGGGCAUGCGUCUAAUUAGCUAGUUGGUGAGGUAAUGGCUCACCAAGGCGAUGAUUGGUAGGGGAACUGAGAGGUCAAUCCCCCACACUGGCACUGAGAUACGGGCCAGACUCCUACGGGAGGCAGCAGUAGGGAAUAUUGGGCAAUGGACGCAAGUCUGACCCAGCCAUGCCGCGUGCAGGAUGAAGGCGUUAUGCGUUGUAAACUGCUUUUAUACAGGAAGAAACGACUCUUGCGAGAGGCAUUGACGGUACUGUAUGAAUAAGCACCGGCUAACUCCGUGCCAGCAGCCGCGGUAAUACGGAGGGUGCAAGCGUUGUCCGGAUUUAUUGGGUUUAAAGGGUGCGCAGGUGGUUUAUUAAGUCAGUGGUGAAAGACGGUCGCUCAACGAUUGCAGUGCCAUUGAAACUGGUAGACUUGAGUAAAGUAGAGGUGGGCGGAAUUGAUAGUGUAGCGGUGAAAUGCAUAGAUAUUAUCAAGAACUCCAAUUGCGUAGGCAGCUCACUUGGCUUUU